UACGUAGGGGGCAAGCGUUGUCCGGAUUUAUUGGGCGUAAAGAGCGUGUAGGCGGCUAAACAGGUCAGCUGUGAAAACUCGAGGCUCAACCUCGAGAGGUCGGUGGAAACCGUUUGGCUAGAGUCCGGAAGAGGAGAGUGGAAUUCCCGGUGUAGCGGUGAAAUGCGCAGAUAUCGGGAAGAACACCCGUGGCGAAGGCGGCUCUCUGGGACGGUACUGACGCUGAGACGCGAAAGCGUGGGGAGCGAACAGG
This 253-nucleotide ribosomal RNA is filed under the name uncultured bacterium. RNAcentral describes it as "partial 16S ribosomal RNA". It matches the Rfam family "Bacterial small subunit ribosomal RNA", at positions 524 to 776 of the family's 1533-position model. The record is from RNAcentral.